ACUCAACGUUAAUUCUUUAAAAAGGGUGAGUUGAAGUUGUAAAAGCGUGCUGCUAGUAUUAGAUUCAUUCCAAUGCUUGGGCAGAUACUUGAUCAGCUUGUUAACCCUAAACUUGUUUUUAAGGAGUUU
This 129-nucleotide small RNA is filed under the name Lacinutrix neustonica. RNAcentral describes it as "6S-Flavo RNA". It matches the Rfam family "6S-Flavo RNA". Lineage: Bacteria; Pseudomonadati; Bacteroidota; Flavobacteriia; Flavobacteriales; Flavobacteriaceae. The record is from Rfam by way of RNAcentral.